UGCCUGUUUCACUUCAUUCCAGUCGUGCUC
Molecule: non-coding RNA, 30 nt
Filed under: Rattus norvegicus (Norway rat)
Lineage: Eukaryota; Metazoa; Chordata; Mammalia; Rodentia; Muridae
Source: RNAcentral